GCUGGUUUUGCUCAGUGGAUAGAGCAUCAGUCUUCAGAACUGAAGGGUCCCGGGUUCAAUUCCCAUCAAGGA
Molecule: non-coding RNA, 72 nt
Organism: Myotis lucifugus (little brown bat)
Lineage: Eukaryota; Metazoa; Chordata; Mammalia; Chiroptera; Vespertilionidae
Source: Rfam